Molecule: ribosomal RNA, 301 nt
Filed under: uncultured bacterium
Lineage: Bacteria
Description: partial 16S ribosomal RNA
Rfam family: Bacterial small subunit ribosomal RNA
Source: RNAcentral
CAGCAGCCGCGGUAAUACAGAGGGUGCGAGCGUUAAUCGGAUUUACUGGGCGUAAAGCGUGCGUAGGCGGCUUUUUAAGUCGGAUGUGAAAUCCCUGAGCUUAACUUAGGAAUUGCAUUCGAUACUGGGAAGCUAGAGUAUGGGAGAGGAUGGUAGAAUUCCAGGUGUAGCGGUGGAAUGCGUAGAGAUCUGGAGGAAUACCGAUGGCGAAGGCAGCCAUCUGGCCUAAUACUGACGCUGAGGUACGAAAGCAUGGGGAGCAAACAGGAUUAGAUACCCGCGUAGUCCCUGUCUCUUAUAC